UGCGUAGGGGGCGAGCGUUGUCCGGAUUUAUUGGGCGUAAAGAGCUUGUAGGCGGUUUGUCGCGUCUGCUGUGAAAUUUCGGGGCUCAACCCCGAACUUGCAGUGGGUACGGGCAGACUAGAGUGUGGUAGGGGAGACUGGAAUUCCUGGUGUAGCGGUGAAAUGCGCAGAUAUCAGGAGGAACACCUAUGGCGAAGGCAGCUCGCUGGGACGGUACUGACGCUGAGGCGCGAAAGCGUGGGGAGCGAACAGG
RNAcentral lists this ribosomal RNA (253 nucleotides) under uncultured bacterium. Its description in RNAcentral is "partial 16S ribosomal RNA". It matches the Rfam family "Bacterial small subunit ribosomal RNA", at positions 524 to 776 of the family's 1533-position model. The record is from RNAcentral.